GUGAUGGUCCUAUGCUGAGUAAAAAAAAGUUCCCGGAACUUAUACAACCUAUUGAGCAAAGAAUGCAAAAUGUCGUAAAUUAUAUCAAGUCUCUGAAGCCCGCUCUGCUUGUAAAUGUUGAACCUAUCGUCGAUCCAUAUGGUCCAUCGAUUGUUGAUGAAACCUUGGAAGCAAUUGUUGUCAGCAAAGAGACAUUAGCAGGUGGAAUGUCGGUUAACAAGAAGCGAGCCGAAAAUGGCCUUUCG
Molecule: unclassified non-coding RNA, 245 nt
Filed under: Hevea brasiliensis (rubber tree)
Lineage: Eukaryota; Viridiplantae; Streptophyta; Magnoliopsida; Malpighiales; Euphorbiaceae
Source: RNAcentral